RNAcentral lists this long non-coding RNA (1865 nucleotides) under Mus musculus (house mouse). RNAcentral's name for it is "long non-coding RNA chr5:115902429-115904294". Lineage: Eukaryota; Metazoa; Chordata; Mammalia; Rodentia; Muridae. The record is from RNAcentral.
UUCGUCAGUGUGCUAGGCAUGUUGUGUGAGGAGAGCCAGCGACUCCAUGACAGACACCUUGACAGUGUACCGCAUAGGUACUCAUUACCAUACUUUUCAGAUGGAACGAUCUCGGCUUUAAAGCCUUUUCGGUCCAUCCAAACAUCAGGCACUGGAUGGAGAGGCACACGCAGGCCAGUCAGACAUGCCUUUGCUCGAUGCAUGCCCGGUUGGCAGUAUCACAAUGUGCUGGGUCAGUGUAAAUGUAACACACUGCUCACCAUUUCAGUGAGAUACUAAUUCCUUUUUUUUUUUUUUUUUUGCCAAAGGGAGAACACAGUUUUGUUUAUUUACACGUGUGUGUAGUGUAGGUGCUGCCACAUGUGCUGCCGCCGUGCACGUGUGUCAGCCACCGGGCCACCUCCUGCGGUCAGUUCUCUCCGCUUUGCGUCCUCCUGGGGCAUGGUCUCUCUUGCUCUUCUUGCUGCUGUGCUGCGUUCUGCAGGCCGCUUCACCUGUGAGCUUGUAGGCGUUCUCCUGUCUCCAUCUCUAGCUCCGUCACAGGAGGGCCGAGAGUUGGGCUGUCCAUGGAAUCUGAGUGCGGGUUGUUAGGUUUGCGCGGCAAGCAUUUCUACCCACCGAGCGCCCUCCAGCCUCAUCCUCCUCUCCUAAAUUGUAUAAAGGUCAACACAAAAGAAAACAAAACGAACCAUGUGGCAUACGACGUCCAAGAACUAUUCUCGGCUUCCUGCCUCUCCCAUCAGUGUGGUGUCAGACAUGUAGGUUUUAGGCUUGAGCGGGGUUUGGGUUUUUUGUUUCCAUCUGUAUCAGAAGUGAAGUAGUUCACUAAGGGAAGAUGCAGAAGGGACGGGGGUAUGCUACACCGCUCCUUUGGCUUGGCUUCAAGAGGGCGAGAAGGGACCCAGAGGCUGAGGGUGAGGUUGCCCGUGACCUUUGUGAGAGAGUGCUCUCUUGGCUGAGCGGAGCUCAGGGUGAUGGAGGGCUGCCUGCCCGGCCCCUUCCACAUGCUGCUCUCUGGGAUUCCAUCCCUCACUCCCUCCGCUCCCAAUGAGAGCUGUGCUCAGACUGUUCCCUGGGUGCCAGAGGGUGAUGGAUCGGGCCUCUUCUGUGCUGACAGUGGGCGCAGUCUCCACCUAAGAGGGGCCGCUAGGCCGUCUUCCCCCGCACCCUCUCCCAUCUAACGAACUUGUCCCGACCCUACACGGUUGUUGUUUCGAGAUGUCGUAUCCAGGCUCUUAGCUUUCUCACUCUGUGUAUGUCUCAGAGCUCCUGUGCCUUCUGUCUUCUCGCUACCGUGGGGGUGGUCUACAGGAACUCCCUGAGCUGGGCGCCUGUGAUUCACCUAGGGUGGGGCAUUUCUAGCCAGCCGACCUUGCUGACCCUGCAUCUACAGAGAGAGUGUACUCCUCAAGUCUCCCUGGUGGGUCACUGAGCUUAUCUGUAGCUCAUUUAACCUGCUGACCUGUUUCCUUUCCGUUUUGCUGUGAUAAACACCGGGGCAGUAGCAGUUUUGGGGGAGGGAAGGCUUUAUUCAGCUCAGGCUUCCACCUGAUGGUCGGAGUGUGAACUUGGAGUAGCCAGUCACAUCAUGUCCGCAGUCCCCGUCAGAGAGAACUCGCGCAUGCGCGCUGUUGCUCAGCUCAUUUCUUUUAUACAACUGAGGGCUCAGACCCAGGGACUCGGGCCAUCCAUUUUAGACUGGGGCUCCUCCCGUCCAUCAUCAAUGAGAGCAUAAUCAUAAGAACCCUCAGGCCACCCUGAUCUGGACAGUCUCUCCUUGGGACUCUUCCCAGAUGAUUCUCAAUUGUGUGACGUUGACAGUUCAUUAGAUCUGCAUUUAACAUUGAGUUUUCAACUUUACUCCU